RNAcentral lists this ribosomal RNA (779 nucleotides) under uncultured Neocallimastigales. RNAcentral's name for it is "partial large subunit ribosomal RNA". It matches the Rfam family "Eukaryotic large subunit ribosomal RNA", at positions 23 to 629 of the family's 3401-position model. Lineage: Eukaryota; Fungi; Neocallimastigomycota; Neocallimastigomycetes; Neocallimastigales. The record is from RNAcentral.
AGAGAGAGACAUGCGCGCAUAUCAAUAAGCGGAGGAAAAGAAACUAACUAGGAUUCCCUCAGUAACGGCGAGUGAAGCGGGAAGAGCUCAAAUUUGAAAUCUUCAAGGGUUCUACCUUGACGAAUUGUAGUUUAAAGAAGUGUUUUCUGUUGGAGUUUUGGUAAAAGUUCUUUGGAAUAGGACAUCAUAGAGGGUGAGAAUCCCGUAUUUGACCAUUACUUUCCACUUUGUGAUACACUUUCAAAGAGUCGGAUUGUUUGGGAAUGCAGUCCAAAAUGGGUGGUAAAUUUCAUCUAAAGCUAAAUACUGGCGAGAGACCGAUAGCGAACAAGUACCGUGAGGGAAAGAUGAAAAGAACUUUGAAAAGAGAGUUAAACAGUACGUGAAAUUGUCAAAAGGGAAGCGCUUUGACACCAGUGUUGUUUUUCUGAAAAUCAAUUAAAAAGGCAUGAUUUAUGUAAGUUGUAUUAGACUUUAUCAGCUUUCUGCACUCUUUUCUUGUCUUUUUUAAUGCACUUUUCGUUUAACAAGUCAACAUCAAUUUCUUUUGUUGUAAAAGGGUCAUUGGAAGGUGGCUUUCUUUUCGGAGAAAGUGUUUAUAGCCUUUGGCCUCUGCAAUCGGAGAGAUUGAGGUCUGCAGCGUAGAUCCUUCGGGGUUAGAUACAUUUGUGCUAAGUUAUAGCCUUUCAUAGACAACUUGUUGACUAUGAUCAGUCAUGUAGCUUACUCGCUUAUGCUAUUUUACCUACGCUUAGGAUGUUGAUGUGAUACUGCGAGCA